AGUAGCUCAGCCGGAUAGAGCAACGGCCUUCUAAGCCGUGGGCCGGGGGUUCGAAUCCCUCCUG
This 64-nucleotide transfer RNA is filed under the name human gut metagenome. It matches the Rfam family "tRNA", at positions 6 to 65 of the family's 71-position model. Rfam says of the family: Transfer RNA (tRNA) molecules are approximately 80 nucleotides in length. Their secondary structure includes four short double-helical elements and three loops (D, anti-codon, and T loops). The record is from RNAcentral. RNAcentral also lists the same sequence under 2 other names.